CAUGCAAGUCGAGCGGGCGUAGCAAUACGUCAGCGGCAGACGGGUGAGUAACGCGUGGGAACGUACCUUUUGGUUCGGAACAACCCAGGGAAACUUGGGCUAAUACCGGAUAAGCCCUUACGGGGAAAGAUUUAUCGCCGAAAGAUCGGCCCGCGUCUGAUUAGCUAGUUGGUGAGGUAAUGGCUCACCAAGGCGACGAUCAGUAGCUGGUCUGAGAGGAUGAUCAGCCACAUUGGGACUGAGACACGGCCCAAACUCCUACGGGAGGCAGCAGUGGGGAAUAUUGGACAAUGGGCGCAAGCCUGAUCCAGCCAUGCCGCGUGAGUGAUGAAGGCCCUAGGGUUGUAAAGCUCUUUUGUGCGGGAAGAUAAUGACGGUACCGCAAGAAUAAGCCCCGGCUAACUUCGUGCCAGCAGCCGCGGUAAUACGAAGGGGGCUAGCGUUGCUCGGAAUCACUGGGCGUAAAGGGUGCGUAGGCGGGUCUUUAAGUCAGGGGUGAAAUCCUGGAGCUCAACUCCAGAACUGCCUUUGAUACUGAAGAUCUUGAGUUCGGGAGAGGUGAGUGGAACUGCGAGUGUAGAGGUGAAAUUCGUAGAUAUUCGCAAGAACACCAGUGGCGAAAGCGGCUCACUGGCCCGAUACUGACGCUGA
RNAcentral lists this ribosomal RNA (651 nucleotides) under uncultured bacterium. RNAcentral's name for it is "bacterial SSU rRNA". It matches the Rfam family "Bacterial small subunit ribosomal RNA", at positions 54 to 749 of the family's 1533-position model. The record is from RNAcentral.